UCACUCUCAGGGUCAUACCUGGAGAGUUGUCAGUAUUCUACCAGUCUCAAUAAUGGGAGGGAGAAUCAAACACAGGCGUACCCAUUCCGUUCCUAGCUUGGCCAAUGGCUAGCGAGUGGAAGACAAUCUGUUACAAGU
Molecule: small nucleolar RNA, 138 nt
Organism: Tachyglossus aculeatus (Australian echidna)
Lineage: Eukaryota; Metazoa; Chordata; Mammalia; Monotremata; Tachyglossidae
Source: RefSeq, a predicted model, not a curated record